AUUGAACGCUGGCGGCAGGCUUAACACAUGCAAGUCGGGCGGGGUGAUGGUGCUUGCACUAUCACUUAGCGGCGGACGGGUGAGUAAUGCUUAGGAAUCUGCCUAUUAGUGGGGGACAACAUCUCGAAAGGGAUGCUAAUACCGCAUACGUACUACGGGAGAAAGCAGGGGAUCACUUGUGACCUUGCGCUAAUAGAUGAGCCUAAGUCGGAUUAGCUAGUUGGUGGGGGAAAGGCCUACCAAGGCGACGAUCUGUAGCGGGUCUGAGAGGAUGAUCCGCCACACUGGGACUGAGGCACGGCCCAGAUUCCUACGGGAGGCAGCAGUGGGGAAUAUUGGACAAUGGGGGGAACCCUGAUCCAGCCAUGCCGCGUGUGUGAAGAAGGCCUUAUGGUUGUAAAGCACUUUAAGCGAGGAGGAGGCUCUUUUGGUUAAUACCCAAGAUGAGUGGACGUUACUCGCAGAAUAAGCACCGGCUAACUCUGUGCCAGCAGCCGCAGUAA
RNAcentral lists this ribosomal RNA (503 nucleotides) under uncultured bacterium. RNAcentral's name for it is "partial 16S ribosomal RNA". It matches the Rfam family "Bacterial small subunit ribosomal RNA", at positions 30 to 523 of the family's 1533-position model. The record is from RNAcentral.